RNAcentral lists this transfer RNA (71 nucleotides) under Schistocerca americana (American grasshopper). RNAcentral describes it as "tRNA-Val". It matches the Rfam family "tRNA". From Rfam's summary of the family: Transfer RNA (tRNA) molecules are approximately 80 nucleotides in length. The record is from RNAcentral. Lineage: Eukaryota; Metazoa; Arthropoda; Insecta; Orthoptera; Acrididae. RNAcentral also lists the same sequence under 5 other names.
CAAGAUAUAACUUAUUAGUAAAGUGUUUCAUUUACACUGAAAAUUUUUCUGUGCAAAUCAGGAUAUCUUGA